Molecule: ribosomal RNA, 166 nt
Filed under: uncultured bacterium
Lineage: Bacteria
Description: partial 16S ribosomal RNA
Rfam family: Bacterial small subunit ribosomal RNA
Source: RNAcentral
UGGAUUCGCUAGUAAUCACGCAUCAGCCACGGCGUGGUGAACACGUUCCCGGGCCUUGUACACACCGCCCGUCAAGCCAUGGAAGCUGGGGGUGCCUGAAGUUCGUGACCGGAAGGAGCGACCUAGGGCAAAACCGGUGACUGGGGCUAAGUCGUAACAAGGUACC